CCGAACAUUAUUGAAAGACGUAAUCGAGAAUGUGAGGUUUGAACAGUUCUUGAGAACAGCAGGAGGUGGAGGGCAGUUGGAAACUUCGGCACUUGAGGUAAGGUAAUUGUCUGAAGCUAGUAUAGAUAAUGCUUUAAGCUCAGUACUAUAGCAGCUCACGCUGUGCAACAAAACCAGCCCCUAGCGAAAGUUCCUCUAGUGUCAACGAUCUCACGUAAAAGGCCACCCGCGCAAUACGUGUGCGGUAUAUUAUACGUGUGUGGUAGGUCGUGCCUGAUUGACGCAGCGGAGGCUCUCCUCGAACUUCCCCCGCGCUCGCCCCCAGCAGGCCCCAGCCCCUCGCCUGCACGUCCAUAGCUCACUGUGCUGAUCGUGCACCGCUGGCUUCCGUUCAGAUGUGAAGGGGUUCUUCCUUCAUAAUGUUCAUUUUGUUUUCAUAAUGCGAGGUGCCGCACGCUUUCGGAAUAACAUGGAAUUGCGAUGACGCUUUUCCGUGAUCGGCGGCGUUGGGGGCAGCGGCAGCGGCGGCAGCGGCAGCGGCAGCAGCGGCGGCGCGUGCGCGCAUCUUGGUAGCGGAGGGGGCGGGAAAGGCCACGUGGAGGAGGAGAGCGCAGCGCCGCCCAAGAAGCGGCGCAAGCGCGCAGGCUGAGGAGCCGGCUGGUGUCUAGAUAGCGGUCCGCGGUGGGGCUGGCAGGGCAUGCGUAGCGGCAUGACAAGUAGUGCGGCUGUUGACAACUGUGCUGCGUCUGGCUACGGUUGGCUCUGCUGUGGCAUUGCGAUUGCUAGGCACCUGGUUUGGCUAUGUGCCUGUGGAAACCGACCCCGGCUAUGUCCGGGCGAUGAGGAUAACCGGGCGAUGAGGUUGUUCGGCCUCAGACUGUGGAGGGGCUCAGCCCCUUUUCCCGUGACCGGGGAACACUUGUCCAUGAUCAUGCGACCGCAACUGCUACGUUACCUUUGACGAGAUAACCGCGCGCCAAGCUGCGCCACUCCGGCGUCCUAAAGCUUGUGACUCUCAGCUGGUGGAUACGGCUGUCAGAGGCUGGGCUGGCGUAGACUGGCCGCAGACUACCAAGCAAAGGCUGGUGACAACGCGAACCCCAAGAGACCCACCUGGAACGCAGCCAGGCUCUUAUAGCAAUGACGACUGAAGUCUGAGUAUGAUCUGAGUGCCAGAGUCGUAACAUACGUUGGACCAAAUGUACUGCGGAUGCUGGCGUGCGCACAACCUCCCGGACCGG
RNAcentral lists this long non-coding RNA (1241 nucleotides) under Chlamydomonas reinhardtii. RNAcentral describes it as "long non-coding RNA (CREI_LNC000774)". The record is from RNAcentral. Lineage: Eukaryota; Viridiplantae; Chlorophyta; Chlorophyceae; Chlamydomonadales; Chlamydomonadaceae.